CCUACGGGGGGCAGCAGUGGGGGAUAUUGCACAAUGGGGGGAACCCUGAUGCAGCGACGCCGCGUGGGUGAAGAAGCGCCUCGGCGCGUAAAGCCCUGUCAGCAGGGAAGAAAAUGACGGUACCUGAAGAAGAAGCCCCGGCUAACUACGUGCCAGCAGCCGCGGUAAUACGUAGGGGGCAAGCGUUAUCCGGAUUUACUGGGUGUAAAGGGGGCGCAGACGGCGGUGCAAGCCAGGAGUGAAAGCCCGGGGCCCAACCCCGGGACUGCUCUUGGAACUGCGUGGCUAGAGUGCAGGAGGGGGAGGCGGAAUGCCUGGUGUAGCGGUGAAAUGCGUAGAUAUCAGGAGGAACACCGGUGGCGAAGGCGGCCUGCUGGACUGCAACUGACGUUGAGGCCCGAAAGCGUGGGGAGCAAACAGGAUUAGAUACCCUUGUAGUC
This 440-nucleotide ribosomal RNA is filed under the name uncultured bacterium. RNAcentral describes it as "partial 16S ribosomal RNA". It matches the Rfam family "Bacterial small subunit ribosomal RNA", at positions 338 to 795 of the family's 1533-position model. The record is from RNAcentral.